GUGAAUCAUCAAAUUUUUGAACGCAAAUUGCGCUCUCUUCGGAGAGUAUGCCUGUUUGAGGGUCAGCCUAAAAAAAAAAUCGACAUAGUCGCUGUUUCGCGGUGACAUUCGUCGGAAAUUGGUUCAUCUUAAAUCUUUGGGUUUUAAGUGGCUUAAAAUUUUCUUUACGAUUCCACGAGCGUUUCUAAGAUUUACUUCUUAUACGUUUAAGAUAUAGAUAUUUAUUAGACGUGGACCUUGCAUUAGAUGUCGUC
Molecule: unclassified non-coding RNA, 254 nt
Filed under: Glomus sp.
Lineage: Eukaryota; Fungi; Glomeromycota; Glomeromycetes; Glomerales; Glomeraceae
Description: partial contains 5.8S ribosomal RNA and internal transcribed spacer 2
Rfam family: 5.8S ribosomal RNA (bases 1-65)
Source: RNAcentral